GAUGAACGCUAGCGGGAGGCUUAACACAUGCAAGUCGAGGGGCAGCAUAGGGUAGCAAUACUCUGAUGGCGACCGGCAAACGGGUGAGUAACGCGUAUGCAACCUACCCUGUACAGGGGGAUAACCCGGAGAAAUUCGGACUAAUAUCCCGUAAUAAUAUCCGGAGGCAUCUUUGGAUAUUUAAAGUUCCGACGGUACGGGAUGGGCAUGCGUAACAUUAACUGGUUGGUAAGGUAACGGCUUACCAAGGCUAUGAUGUUUAGGGGUCCUGAGAGGGUGGUCCCCCAACUGGUACUGAGACACGGACCAGACUCCUACGGGAGGCAGCAGUGAGGAAUAUUGGUCAAUGGGCGCAAGCCUGAACCAGCCAUCCCCGGUGCAGGAAGACGGCCCUAUGGGUUGUAAACUGCUUUUCCAGGGAGAGAAACUUACGCACGUGUUGCGUGACUGACGGUACCCUGGGAAUAAGCAUCGGCUAACUCCGUGCCAGCAGGCCGCGGUAAAAGUGUGUGUA
RNAcentral lists this ribosomal RNA (514 nucleotides) under uncultured bacterium. Its description in RNAcentral is "bacterial SSU rRNA". It matches the Rfam family "Bacterial small subunit ribosomal RNA", at positions 28 to 536 of the family's 1533-position model. The record is from RNAcentral.